UAGUGACAUGCUGCCAAGCUUGAGUUGGGACAUCCAAAGGCUGCAAUAAUCCUGGUGUAGCUCAGGUUUCAGCCUUACAUCUUGCACAAGUGUCACAGCUUCUCACCCAUUCUAUUACUGGUUUUAACAUAGCAGGCCAGAAAAAAUGUCUACUAAGCCUGACAUACGUGGCAUUGAUACCAGAGUGGCCUCCCAAGUGGAAAUUGUGAUAAAGAGCUAACAGAUGCUCCUUUAAAUGGCCUGUACUACAUACAUACAGCCUAUUUUUAUAGAAUAGCAACCCAUUUUUGAAUGAAUAACCAGGAUGGGCUUUGUCAUCAAUGGAAAGAUGGGAAAUCAAUUCAGUAGCUGUAGUAUCAUCAGUAUAACUAUGCAGCAGCAGUGACAUCCAAGUGGGCUGUAGAGAGGAGUGAUGAAUGGCCAAUAGAGUGCUGUCCAGAUCUGCAGGCCUUCUAGAUAAGACAUCAGCUGCUUUAUUUUCAGCUCCUCUUCUAUAUAAAAUUCUGUAUUGCAACCCCACUAAUUUAGAAACCUCUCUAAGUUGUAAAUUUGUAUGUAACCUCUGCUCAAGUAAG
RNAcentral lists this unclassified non-coding RNA (575 nucleotides) under Hevea brasiliensis (rubber tree). The record is from RNAcentral. Lineage: Eukaryota; Viridiplantae; Streptophyta; Magnoliopsida; Malpighiales; Euphorbiaceae.